Molecule: ribosomal RNA, 492 nt
Filed under: uncultured bacterium
Lineage: Bacteria
Description: partial 16S ribosomal RNA
Rfam family: Bacterial small subunit ribosomal RNA
Source: RNAcentral
AGUGAACGCUGGCGGUAGGCCUAACACAUGCAAGUCGAACGGCAGCACAGUAAGAGCUUGCUCUUACGGGUGGCGAGUGGCGGACGGGUGAGGAAUACAUCGGAAUCUACUUUUUCGUGGGGGAUAACGUAGGGGAACUUACGCUAAUACCGCAUACGACCUACGGGUGAAAGCAGGGGAUCUUCGGACCUUGCGCGAUUGAAUGAGCCGAUGUCGGAUUAGCUAGUUGGCGGGGUAAAGGCCCACCAAGGCGACGAUCCGUAGCUGGUCUGAGAGGAUGAUCAGCCACACUGGAACUGAGACACGGUCCAGACUCCUACGGGAGGCACCAGUGGGGAAUAUUGGACAAUGGGCGCAAGCCUGAUCCAGCCAUACCGCGUGGGUGAAGAAGGCCUUCGGGUUGUAAAGCCCUUUUGUUGGGAAAGAAAAGCAGCAGGUUAAUACCCCGCUGUUCUGACGGUACCCAAAGAAUAAGCACCGGCUAACUUCGUG